CCCUUAGAUGUUCUGGGCCGCACGCGCGCUACACUGACUGCUCCAACAAGUUACCUGGGCUGACAAGCAUCCGGGAAAUCUUGCAAAGGCAGUCGUGAUGGGGAUAGAUUCUUGUAAUUUUUGAUCUUCAACGAGGAAUUCCUAGUAAACGCAAGUCAUCAGCUUGCAUUGAUUACGUCCCUGCCCUUUGUACACACCGCCCGUCGCAUCUACCGAUUGAAUGGAGAGGCAAAGUCUUCGGACCGUGACGCUUGGGAGUCAAAUCUCGGGCUGUCGUGGGAAGUGGAUUAAACCUUUCUAUUUAGAGGAAGGUAAAGUCGUAACA
RNAcentral lists this ribosomal RNA (325 nucleotides) under uncultured eukaryote. RNAcentral describes it as "partial 18S ribosomal RNA". It matches the Rfam family "Eukaryotic small subunit ribosomal RNA", at positions 1470 to 1796 of the family's 1831-position model. The record is from RNAcentral.